GACGAACGCUGGCGGCGUGCUUAACACAUGCAAGUCGAACGGAAAGGCCUUGCUUUUGUGGGGUGCUCGAGUGGCGAACGGGUGAGUAACACGUGAGUAACCUGCCCUUGACUUUGGGAUAACUUCAGGAAACUGGGGCUAAUACCGGAUAGGAGCUCCUGCUGCAUGGUGGGGGUUGGAAAGUUUCGGCGGUUGGGGAUGGACUCGCGGCUUAUCAGCUUGUUGGUGGGGUAGUGGCUUACCAAGGCUUUGACGGGUAGCCGGCCUGAGAGGGUGACCGGCCACAUUGGGACUGAGAUACGGCCCAGAAUCCUACGGGAGGCAGCAGUGGGGAAUAUUGCACAAUGGGCGGAAGCCUGAUGCAGCAACGCCGCGUGCGGGAUGACGGCCUUCGGGUUGUAAACCGCUUUCGCCUGUGACGAAGCGUGAGUGACGGUAAUGGGUAAAGAAGCACCGGCUAACUACGUG
Molecule: ribosomal RNA, 468 nt
Filed under: uncultured bacterium
Lineage: Bacteria
Description: partial 16S ribosomal RNA
Rfam family: Bacterial small subunit ribosomal RNA
Source: RNAcentral